AUUGAACGCUGGCGGCAUGCCUUACACAUGCAAGUCGAACGCCCCGCAAGGGGAGUGGCAGACGGGUGAGUAACACGUGGGAACGUACCCUUUGGUUCGGAAUAACUUGGGGAAACUCAAGCUAAUACCGGAUAAGCCCUUAUGGGGAAAGGUUUACUGCCGAAGGAUCGGCCCGCGUCUGAUUAGCUAGUUGGUGAGGUAAUGGCUCACCAAGGCGACGAUCAGUAGCUGGUCUGAGAGGAUGAUCAGCCACACUGGGACUGAGACACGGCCCAGACUCCUACGGGAGGCAGCAGUGGGGAAUAUUGGACAAUGGGGGCAACCCUGAUCCAGCCAUGCCGCGUGAGUGAUGAAGGCCUUAGGGUUGUAAAGCUCUUUUACCCGGGACGAUAAUGACUGUACCGGGAGAAUAAGCCCCGGCUAACUUCGUGCCAGCCGCCGCUGUAA
Molecule: ribosomal RNA, 447 nt
Filed under: uncultured bacterium
Lineage: Bacteria
Description: partial 16S ribosomal RNA
Rfam family: Bacterial small subunit ribosomal RNA
Source: RNAcentral